Molecule: ribosomal RNA, 237 nt
Filed under: Triticum aestivum (bread wheat)
Lineage: Eukaryota; Viridiplantae; Streptophyta; Magnoliopsida; Poales; Poaceae
Description: partial small subunit ribosomal RNA
Source: RNAcentral
GGAGGCCUGCGGCGGUGCUAGGGCCAAAGCGGGAGGAGGCAGGGGCGAACUGGCGGCGAGAUGGACGGAGCGAGGUCCAGGCACCGGCGCUGUGGUGGUCUAGAUCGGGAGCACGAGCAGCAGUUCGUGAGAGAGAGAGAUGCGUACAGGAGAGGGUUCGUGCGGGGAUAAGGGAGUUAUGGUGAGAUGGGAGUCGUGGGUGGGGAGGGUAGGUUCAUGGGGGCGCGUGCAUCGUGG